UAGGGAAUCUUCCGCAAUGGACGCAAGUCUGACGGAGCAACGCCGCGUGAGUGAAGAAGGAUUUCGGUUCGUAAAACUCUGUUGUUAGAGAAGAACAGCGCAUAGAGUAACUGUUAUGCGUGUGACGGUAUCUAACCAGAAAGCCACGGCUAACUACGUGCCAGCAGCCGCGGUAAUACGUAGGUGGCAAGCGUUGUCCGGAUUUAUUGGGCGUAAAGCGAGCGCAGGCGGUCAAUUAAGUCUGAUGUGAAAGCCCCCGGCUCAACCGGGGAGGGUCAUUGGAAACUGGUUGACUUGAGUGCAGAAGAGGAGAGUGGAAUUCCAUGUGUAGCGGUAAAAUGCGUAGAUAUAUGGAGGAACACCAGUGGCGAAGGCGACUCUCUGGUCUGUAACUGACGCUGAGGCUCGAAAGCGUGGGUAGCAAACAGG
This 429-nucleotide ribosomal RNA is filed under the name Bacteroidota bacterium. RNAcentral's name for it is "Bacteroidetes bacterium partial 16S ribosomal RNA". It matches the Rfam family "Bacterial small subunit ribosomal RNA", at positions 355 to 776 of the family's 1533-position model. The record is from RNAcentral. Lineage: Bacteria; Pseudomonadati; Bacteroidota.